AGAAUCAACGCUGGCGGCGUGCCUAACACAUGCAAGUCGAACGAGAAAGUGGAGCAAUCCAUGAGUAAAGUGGCGACCGGGUGAGUAACACGUGACUAACCUACCCUCGAGUGGGGAAUAACAUCGGGAAACCGAUGCUAAUACCGCAUAACAUCGCAAGAUCAAAGCCGAAAGGCGCUUGAGGAGGGGGUCGCGGCUGAUUAGCUAGUUGGUAGGGUAAUGGCCUACCAAGGCUUAGAUCGGUAGCCGGCCUGAGAGGGCGCACGGCCACACUGGAACUGAAACACGGUCCAGACUCCUACGGGAGGCAGCAGUGGGGAAUUUUGCGCAAUGGGGGAAACCCUGACGCAGCAACGCCGCGUGGAGGAUGAAGUCCCUUGGGACGUAAACUCCUUUCGACCGGGACGAUACUGACGGUACCGGAUGAAGAAGCACCGGCUAACUCUGUGCCAGCAGCCGC
RNAcentral lists this ribosomal RNA (460 nucleotides) under uncultured bacterium. Its description in RNAcentral is "SSU rRNA". It matches the Rfam family "Bacterial small subunit ribosomal RNA", at positions 26 to 518 of the family's 1533-position model. The record is from RNAcentral.